Molecule: ribosomal RNA, 438 nt
Filed under: uncultured bacterium
Lineage: Bacteria
Description: partial 16S ribosomal RNA
Rfam family: Bacterial small subunit ribosomal RNA
Source: RNAcentral
CUACGGGACGCUGCAGUGAGGAAUAUUGCACAAUGGGGGAAACCCUGAUGCAGCAACGCCGCGUGGAGGAUGACGCAUUUCGGUGUGUAAACUCCUUUUAUCAGAGAAGAAAAUGACGGUAUCUGAUGAAUAAGCUCCGGCUAACUCCGUGCCAGCAGCCGCGGUAAUACGGAGGGAGCAAGCGUUAUUCGGAAUCACUGGGCGUAAAGGACGCGUAGGCGGGUUUUUAAGUCAGGUGUGAAAUCCUAUGGCUCAACCAUAGAACUGCACUUGAAACUGGGGACCUAGAGUAUGGAAGGGGCAGGUGGAAUUAGUGGUGUAGGGGUAAAAUCCGUAGAUAUCACUAGGAAUACCGAAAGCGAAGGCGACCUGCUGGGACAUUACUGACGCUGAGGCGUGAAAGCGUGGGAGCAAACAGGAUUAGAUACCCUGGUAGUC